AGGCUAAGCGAGGAGUGAGAUUGGUCUGGUGCUGGUGGGGGAUCGUUAGAUGACGUAUUUGCUUUAUCGUAUUUCCUUUUUAUCGAUAAAGUCUUGAUGUGAAGUUACUUUAAAUAUGAAUCAAGUAAUAUACUCACGGUUAUGUGUCUCCAUACAUGUAACUGGUUCGCCUUUUGCUGCGAUACUCUGCAUAUUAUGUUUCCUUAUGAAAAAUAAGCUAUACCUGUUUUGUUUUUGUUCGUGAA
Molecule: long non-coding RNA, 245 nt
Filed under: Salvia miltiorrhiza (redroot sage)
Lineage: Eukaryota; Viridiplantae; Streptophyta; Magnoliopsida; Lamiales; Lamiaceae
Description: long non-coding RNA (SMIL_LNC010567)
Source: RNAcentral